This 95-nucleotide non-coding RNA is filed under the name Sphingobacterium paucimobilis HER1398. RNAcentral describes it as "TPP riboswitch aptamer (THI element)". It matches the Rfam family "TPP riboswitch aptamer (THI element)". From Rfam's summary of the family: Vitamin B(1) in its active form thiamin pyrophosphate (TPP) is an essential coenzyme that is synthesised by coupling of pyrimidine and thiazole moieties in bacteria. The previously detected thiamin-regulatory element, thi box was extended, resulting in a new, highly conserved RNA secondary structure, the THI element, which is widely distributed in eubacteria and also occurs in some archaea. The record is from Rfam by way of RNAcentral. Lineage: Bacteria; Pseudomonadati; Bacteroidota; Sphingobacteriia; Sphingobacteriales; Sphingobacteriaceae. RNAcentral also lists the same sequence under 1 other name.
AAAAUACUUUAGGGGUGUCUGCAAGGCAGGCUGAGAUUUUACCCUUGGAACCUGAUCUAGUUCAUACUAGCGUAGGGAAAAGUAAGUGUAUCUUU